Molecule: ribosomal RNA, 490 nt
Filed under: uncultured bacterium
Lineage: Bacteria
Description: partial 16S ribosomal RNA
Rfam family: Bacterial small subunit ribosomal RNA
Source: RNAcentral
AUUGAACGCUGGCGGCAGGCCUAACACAUGCAAGUCGAACGGUAACAGGGAUCAGCUUGCUGAUUCGCUGACGAGUGGCGGACGGGUGAGUAAUGUCUGGGAAACUGCCUGAUGGAGGGGGAUAACUACUGGAAACGGUAGCUAAUACCGCAUAACGUCGCAAGACCAAAGAGGGGGACCUUCGGGCCUCUUGCCAUCGGAUAUGCCCAGAUGGGAUUAGCUAGUAGGUGGGGUAACGGCUCACCUAGGCGACGAUCCCUAGCUGGUCUGAGAGGAUGACCAGCCACACUGGAACUGAGACACGGUCCAGACUCCUACGGGAGGCAGCAGUGGGGAAUAUUGCACAAUGGGCGCAAGCCUGAUGCAGCCAUGCCGCGUGUAUGAAGAAGGCCUUCGGGUUGUAAAGUACUUUCAGCGGGGAGGAAGGGAGUAAAGUUAAUACCUUUGCUCAUUGACGUUACCCGCAGAAGAAGCACCGGCUAACUCCGUG